GAUGAACGCUGGCGGCGUGCCUAAUACAUGCAAGUCGAGCGAACAGAUGAGGAGCUUGCUCCUCUGACGUUAGCGGCGGACGGGUGAGUAACACGUGGAUAACCUACCUAUAAGACUGGGAUAACUUCGGGAAACCGGAGCUAAUACCGGAUAAUAUAUUGAACCGCAUGGUUCAAUAGUGAAAGACGGUUUUGCUGUCACUUAUAGAUGGAUCCGCGCCGCAUUAGCUAGUUGGUAAGGUAACGGCUUACCAAGGCAACGAUGCGUAGCCGACCUGAGAGGGUGAUCGGCCACACGGGAACUGAGACACGGUCCAGACUCCUACGGGAGGCAGCAGUAGGGAAUCUUCCGCAAUGGGCGAAAGCCUGACGGAGCAACGCCGCGUGAGUGAUGAAGGUCUUCGGAUCGUAAAACUCUGUUAUUAGGGAAGAACAAAUGUGUAAGUAACUAUGCACGUCUUGACGGAACCUAAGCAGAAAGCCACGGCUAACUACGU
RNAcentral lists this ribosomal RNA (496 nucleotides) under uncultured bacterium. RNAcentral describes it as "partial 16S ribosomal RNA". It matches the Rfam family "Bacterial small subunit ribosomal RNA", at positions 28 to 506 of the family's 1533-position model. The record is from RNAcentral.